Molecule: ribosomal RNA, 241 nt
Filed under: uncultured bacterium
Lineage: Bacteria
Description: partial 16S ribosomal RNA
Rfam family: Bacterial small subunit ribosomal RNA
Source: RNAcentral
UCGGGUGGUGGACAGUGGCGCACGGGUGAGUAACACGUGGGGACCCACCUGAUAGUACGGGACAACACGGGGAAACCUGUGUUAAUACCGGAUAAGCCCUUACGGGGAAAGUUUUAAUGCCAAAAGAUGAGCCCGCAUUUGAUUAGCUAGUUGGUGAGGUAAAAGCUCACCAAGGCGAUAAUCAAUAGCUGAUUUGAGAGGAUGAUCAGCCACACUGGGACUGAGAUACGGCCCAGACUCC